Molecule: small RNA, 38 nt
Filed under: Arabidopsis thaliana (thale cress)
Lineage: Eukaryota; Viridiplantae; Streptophyta; Magnoliopsida; Brassicales; Brassicaceae
Description: ATSL067110
Source: RNAcentral
UUAAUAGAUUGUGUGUGCGUUUUUUUCUUUAUUUUAUU